GAUGAACGCUAGCUACAGGCUUAACACAUGCAAGUCGAGGGGAAACGAUAUUGGAAGCUUGCUUCCGAUGGGCGUCGACCGGCGCACGGGUGAGUAACGCGUAUCCAACCUGCCCACCACUUGGGGAUAACCUUGCGAAAGUAAGACUAAUACCCAACGAUAUCUCUAGAAGACAUCUGAAGGAGAUUAAAGAUUUAUCGGUGAUGGAUGGGGAUGCGUCUGAUUAGCUUGUUGGCGGGGUAACGGCCCACCAAGGCGACGAUCAGUAGGGGUUCUGAGAGGAAGGUCCCCCACAUUGGAACUGAGACACGGUCCAAACUCCUACGGGAGGCAGCAGUGAGGAAUAUUGGUCAAUGGACGAGAGUCUGAACCAGCCAAGUAGCGUGCAGGAUGACGGCCCUAUGGGUUGUAAACUGCUGUUAUAAGGGAAUAAAGUGAGCCUCGUGAGGCUUUUUGCAUGUACCUUAUGAAUAAGGACCGGCUAAUUCCGUGCCAGCCGCCGCAGUAA
Molecule: ribosomal RNA, 508 nt
Filed under: uncultured bacterium
Lineage: Bacteria
Description: partial 16S ribosomal RNA
Rfam family: Bacterial small subunit ribosomal RNA
Source: RNAcentral